RNAcentral lists this ribosomal RNA (253 nucleotides) under uncultured bacterium. RNAcentral's name for it is "partial 16S ribosomal RNA". It matches the Rfam family "Bacterial small subunit ribosomal RNA", at positions 524 to 776 of the family's 1533-position model. The record is from RNAcentral.
UACGUAGGGUCCGAGCGUUGUCCGGAAUUACUGGGCGUAAAGAGCUCGUAGGUGGUUUGUCGCGUUGUCCGUGAAAACUCACAGCUCAACUGUGGGCGUGCGGGCGAUACGGGCAGACUGGAGUACUGCAGGGGAGACUGGAGUUCCUGGUGUAGCGGUGGAAUGCGCAGAUAUCAGGAGGAACACCGGUGGCGAAGGCGGGUCUCUGGGCAGUAACUGACGCUGAGGAGCGAAAGCGUGGGGAGCGAACAGG